GUGCCUGUAGCUUAGUGGUAAAGCGCCGCUCUGUGGCAGCGGUGAUGAGGGUUCGAUUCCCUUCAGGCACCCCA
RNAcentral lists this transfer RNA (74 nucleotides) under Candidatus Niyogibacteria bacterium RIFCSPHIGHO2_01_FULL_45_28. RNAcentral's name for it is "tRNA-His". It matches the Rfam family "tRNA". From Rfam's summary of the family: Transfer RNA (tRNA) molecules are approximately 80 nucleotides in length. RNAcentral also lists the same sequence under 2 other names. The record is from RNAcentral. Lineage: Bacteria; Candidatus Niyogiibacteriota.